GAUAGUAGGAUGGAAUUUUAUUCAAAGCU
This 29-nucleotide non-coding RNA is filed under the name Mus musculus (house mouse). Lineage: Eukaryota; Metazoa; Chordata; Mammalia; Rodentia; Muridae. The record is from RNAcentral.